UGGAGUACGUGCUCUGAUAUCAUGAAGAAAGUUGAAUUCCACUAUAAAACCAAUUGGCAAUAUUAGAAAUAGCUCAAUUUGUUUCAUUUCAUGACAUAAGACUCUUUUACUUUAAAAUCCUCAUAUAUAAUAUAUAUUUAAUUGGUUUCUUUUGACCCAAUUGGCGGGCUGAAAAAGUGUAAACAAUUUCCUCACAAAUUGUGGAAUUUGGCUUCCUUCUAUUUUUGGGUAAAUUUCACUUUAUCACAUCAUUUUUGAAAUCUGUUGAAAUCUAACACAACCUCUUUAAAAUAUUUCACUUUCAUACCUCAAGUACUAUUUUAUUUCAAUAUAAUACAUCCGUUACAUUUUUCAUCAAUUGAUCAAUUAAGAAUUGAUGUGGUUGCCAUAUUUGUGUCACGUGACUGUCAAAUUUAUGUCACGUGACAAAUUUUUUUUUAUUUUAUACAUUUAAAAUAUUAUAAUAAUUUACCCUAUUAUUAAAAAAAAAAAAGCGAAAAAAAAAAAAGAAAAAACCUGAAACCCAGAAACCCAUUCGUCCGACCCACCUCCCUGUCCUCUACCCUCUUCACCUCCCCUCCCAUCCAAAAACCCACCCCACCCCCACCUCCACCUCCACCUCCCCCCUUCUCUGCUCCACGAUUUGCAUCUGAGAUGGCGUCGUCGGCGCAGCUCCGGCUCAUGUCCGAUCUCAGAACCAUCAUUAACCUUGCCGUUAAACAAGUCCAUAAAUUCUGCCCCUAAAUCUACGGUUCCCACAACUCGAUCCACACUUCCUGCAAAUAGAUCGACAACUCCUGCAACUAAAUCUACAGUUCCCUCAAGAUCCUCUACACCACCAAGGUCUGCGGCAAGAUCUUCAACACCAACGUCCAGACGCACUGUACCCCUACCAAGCCUGCAUCAAGAGCUUCAACACCAACUCGUCGACCGUCCAUGCCAUACCCUACACCUAGUAUAUCAGCUCCUCCAUCAAAGGUUGCAGCGCCAGCCCUCUGUCUGAUGGCAAUGGAAGUUCUUCAUCCUUCCCGUCGCCGAGAAGGUGAAGAACGAAGGUGAGAAGGGAGAGAUGCUGCGGGCCAUGGCGACCCGGCUGGAUGGCGGCAACGGGCUUGGGCUGGGCCUUCUAGGCCCGGGAGUGGCGGCGGGAGGUAAGGUAGAGGGAGAGGAGGAAUAGGGUGAUUAGAGAGGGAGUGUGUUUGAUUUGGGGGUGGGGAAGACGAAGGGGAAAACUGGGUUUUUCUUUUUUUAUUCUUUAUUUUUACUUUUCUUUAAUUAAUUAUUUUAAUAUUUGAAAUUUUUUAUGAAGUGUUUAACUAUACGGUACAAAUAUGGAUUUCAUAUUUUCCACAUUAUCAUUUAACGGUUUACUUAAUGGGUUUUCUAACGAAUGUAUGAAAUUGAAAUAAAAUGAUAAAUAAAUGUAUGAAUUGAAAUGUUUUAAGGAUGUUGUAAGACCAACUCCAAUGGUGGGCUAAAAGCCAAAUUACCCCCCAAAAUUUCCCCCCAAACGCACUCCAACCCAAGGGGAAAUUUUGAGCUAAAUGCUAAAUGCUAAACCAAUGCCAAAUUCCCCCCGAAAUUUAGCUCAGAAAUCGGGGUGGAUUCUACCCAAUAUUUAUCGGAAUUUAAAUUUUUUUAGAUUAAAAUGUUUAUAAAAUUAAUUUACGAUAGUCUACAUAUUUAUUUUUUU
Molecule: long non-coding RNA, 1693 nt
Organism: Pyrus x bretschneideri (Chinese white pear)
Lineage: Eukaryota; Viridiplantae; Streptophyta; Magnoliopsida; Rosales; Rosaceae
Exons: 2
Source: RefSeq, a predicted model, not a curated record